Molecule: long non-coding RNA, 1369 nt
Filed under: Brassica rapa (field mustard)
Lineage: Eukaryota; Viridiplantae; Streptophyta; Magnoliopsida; Brassicales; Brassicaceae
Description: long non-coding RNA (BRAP_LNC007117)
Source: RNAcentral
UAAAAACAAUUCAUUGUAGGCGACCACUGUGUUUUUGCAUAUCAUCAUCAUCUAUCAACAAUUGCGAUUUGUUCUGUAGAGAGUAGAACUAGACAGCUUGGAGACGUCUUCUGAGUUUCUUGGUUUCCUAAGAAUCCAGACCUUACUCUUCCUGAUCUUAACUAUGAUUGCAACAGGUUGGAGUCAUCGAUAGCGUCGAGAUUAUACAGAUUCAUCACUAGAAGCAUCACCCACUAAUUACAACAAUUCCCUUGAGUAGCUGGAUCAGGCUGUGAACAAAGAGAUGCUUCCACUGUCGUCAAGUUGUAGAAUGCAAUAAAGUUAAACGGUGGAGGUGUUUUGGUUUUUUGAUCUUGGCUCUGUUGUGUUCGGUUUGUUGGUUUGUGUUUGGUUGGAUCUCACAUCUCAGAAUAGGUAAAUAGAAAAGUUACAGUCUUUUGAUCAAUCAAGUUGACCUAAAGAAGUUUAGUUGUUAAGGUAGUCGAGUUAGUUGAGAAAUAUGGUUUUGAUAAUCCGUUGUAGUGAGAUUACCAGAAGGAUUCUCCUUUAGAGUGGAUUCGAAGUUUGAUUAGUGAUGAAAGCUGGUUUAGGAGGUGCUUAAGGCUGUUGAGUCUUGAGCUGAGAAAAAAUAUAUAUGAUUGACAGUUUAAGGAAACCCAAGAAAAAAACGAGCUAAAGUUUUGGUUUUUUUCUUUGUUCUUGAUGUUUCUCCAAGAAGCAAUAGAGAAUGAGUGUUUUUUUUGUGUGCUAGAGAAUGAAAGUCAUUAACUUUAUUACUAAUGUACAGUCAUGUGCACCGCUUAUUUUUGGAAGAACUUGCUGCUGUCAACGUGAGUUUGUAGUGUCUUUAUAUAUCUUUCCAAUUAUUGUUCUGUGCUUAAUGGUGUGUGUUGUAACAUAUUACAGCAAGUUUGUGAAAAAAAAUUUGGCUCUCUAGAAGAUUUGCUGAAAAAAUAGGUGAAAGUACUGUUCAAGAAAGGUUCAUGAUGCCUAUUAGUAUUUAAAAUUUUAGGAUAGUAAGGAGUCUAUCUCAGUAUGGAAAACUUAAAAAAAAAUUGAAAACCAAUUUUGUUUGAACUCUUAUAUACAGCUUUGUAGUGGGUUGUUGCCCAAAGCUAGACAUGAGCUCCUCAAGGAUUGACAAGCAGGCUCUCUGUUUGAGCAAGCUCGCAAAAACAUAUGCAGUUCCAGAUACAACGGCCUACUGCUUAAAAGUUUCUCGCAGAUUGUUUCAUAUGGGAAGUUUUUUCAACAAAAAGGAUCUACAGAAAGUCAUGCAUGCAACAGAUCAGUAGGCUCAAAAGAUUAAAGUAAUUGUAAAUCAUUUGUUAAUAACAUAUGUACUAGGUGUUUUGCCCGCCCUUGCGGG